RNAcentral lists this unclassified non-coding RNA (671 nucleotides) under Sipha flava (yellow sugarcane aphid). RNAcentral describes it as "zinc finger protein OZF-like, transcript variant X3". Lineage: Eukaryota; Metazoa; Arthropoda; Insecta; Hemiptera; Aphididae. The record is from RNAcentral.
GAUAAUCAAUUAAAAAGUGUUACUUAAAUACUUCGUUUUUCAUGUGAUUAAUUAUUCACAUAUGUCCGAUAACCACCAUCAUUAAAUUACGUUCUAUCUAUUGUCAUAACUUGACAUUUACAAGUACACAGUCCCAUUUAGUCUUAUAACGCGUCACGUGUGUCGUUCACCUAUUAUUUAUUUUAAUUUCACAGUAAUGUAAAGAGGAAGUUCCCAAUAAGUUACGUGUGAUAUUGAUGUUUAAACAACACCAUUUCAGAUGAAAUCAAAGUUAAAUCUGGUAAUAAAGAGGCCAUAUUAUGAACAUAAAUCAUCAAUCAAUAUGGACACACGUGUUUGUUAACAACUUGGAUGCCAAAGUUUAGGAGUUAAUUAAUUUUGAAUUUUUAUUUUUUGUAAACUAAAGACUAAAGUGGAUUACCAAAGAAUAACGUUCUAGUCACACCAGAAAAAUGGUGAGAACCGUUACUUUAUCAUAACAAUUUAACAUUUUACAAAAAAGUCAAUUUUCACAUUCAGACAAAUUUUUUUUUAAAUUUCCAAUUUAUUAUUUACGAUAUAAAGUUCUCAUUUGUUUUUACAUUGACAUUUAUUUCUCUAGUAACAAUUAAAAUAUAAUUAAUAGUAAAAACAAAUUAUUUUUUUCGUAAUUCUAAAGUGACAAUAGACAA